UACGAAGGGGGCUAGCGUUGCUCGGAAUUACUGGGCGUAAAGCGCACGUAGGCGGCUUUCUAAGUCGGGGGUGAAAUCCUGGAGCUCAACUCCAGAACUGCCUUCGAUACUGGAAAGCUCGAGUCCGGGAGAGGUGAGUGGAACUGCGAGUGUAGAGGUGAAAUUCGUAGAUAUCAGGAGGAACACCGGUGGCGAAGGCGGGACUCUGGGCCGAUACUGACGCUGAGGAGCGAAAGCGUGGGGAGCGAACAGG
Molecule: ribosomal RNA, 253 nt
Filed under: uncultured bacterium
Lineage: Bacteria
Description: partial 16S ribosomal RNA
Rfam family: Bacterial small subunit ribosomal RNA
Source: RNAcentral